UUGGAGGGCAAGUCUGGUGCCAGCAGCCGCGGUAAUUCCAGCUCCAAUAGCGUAUAUUAAAGUUGUUGCAGUUAAAAAGCUCGUAGUUGAAUUUCGGGAUCAAUUUAUUGGCCGUGCUAUUGUACGUACUGGUAUUAUUGAUUCCUACCUUCUGACGAACCAUGAUGUCAUUAAUUUGGUGUCUUGGGGAAUCAGGACUGUUACUUUGAAAAAAUUAGAGUGUUUAAAGCAGGCUCACGCUUGAAUACAUUAGCAUGGAAUAACGAAAUAGGACGUUUGAUUCUAUUUUGUUGGUUUCUAGGAUCGACGUAAUGAUUAAUAGGGAUAGUUGGGGGCAUUAGUAUUCAAUUGUCAGAGGUGAAAUUCUUGGAUUUAUUGAAGACUAACUACUGCGAAAGCAUUUGCCAAGGAUGUUUUCAUUAAUCAAGAACGAAAGUUAGGGGAUCGAAGACGAUCAGAUACCGUCGUAGUCUUAACCAUAAACUAUGCCGACUAGGGAUCGGAUGAUGUUAAUUUUUUAAUGACUCAUUCGGCGCCUUACGGGAAAC
This 548-nucleotide ribosomal RNA is filed under the name uncultured Glomeromycotina. RNAcentral's name for it is "SSU rRNA". It matches the Rfam family "Eukaryotic small subunit ribosomal RNA", at positions 548 to 1098 of the family's 1831-position model. Lineage: Eukaryota; Fungi; Glomeromycota. The record is from RNAcentral.